This 350-nucleotide ribosomal RNA is filed under the name uncultured bacterium. Its description in RNAcentral is "bacterial SSU rRNA". It matches the Rfam family "Bacterial small subunit ribosomal RNA", at positions 355 to 697 of the family's 1533-position model. The record is from RNAcentral.
UAGGGAAUCUUCCACAAUGGACGAAAGUCUGAUGGAGCAACGCCGCGUGAGUGAAGAAGGUUUUCGGAUCGUAAAACUCUGUUGUUGGAGAAGAAUGUAUCUGAUAGUAACUGAUCAGGUAGUGACGGUAUCCAACCAGAAAGCCACGGCUAACUACGUGCCAGCAGCCGCGGUAAUACGUAGGUGGCAAGCGUUGUCCGGAUUUAUUGGGCGUAAAGCGAGCGCAGGCGGUUUCUUAAGUCUGAUGUGAAAGCCUUCGGCUCAACCGAAGAAGUGCAUCGGAAACUGGGAAACUUGAGUGCAGAAGAGGACAGUGGAACUCCAUGUGUAGCGGUGAAAUGCGUAGAUAU